Molecule: long non-coding RNA, 1243 nt
Organism: Osmia lignaria (orchard mason bee)
Lineage: Eukaryota; Metazoa; Arthropoda; Insecta; Hymenoptera; Megachilidae
Source: RefSeq, a predicted model, not a curated record
UUCGAAGCAAUUUGAAGCUUCUACCAAUGGCUGUGAUUGGUCCUCCGUUAUUGCGUCUUCCCAUUUCGACCAAUCAGAUUCAUCGUUUAAGGGUUAGGUACGCGGAGUGUGGUGGAGUGCAUCAGUUCUCUUCGAAGCUUCGUCCGUUUGGCACGUGUCUGCAACAGGUAUCGGCCGAUAGCAGAAUAUACCGAACAUUGCCGAGUGUUGCCGAAGUGCCGACCGGUCUACGAUGGGAAGGAAGGUCUCGCCAUUGCUCUCUCGAGCGUCGAAGCAGUAAGACGUAUUGAGGGCGUCCUCCUGUACGGGUAGUUCAUAGAUAUUUCCUUGAUAUUGAAAAAAUGCCAUGCGAUACGAUGCCAUGGUAAUUAAUACUGGUUUGAAACACAAUUUCGUAAAGAAUUGGUAACGUUUUGAUUUAUUGUAAUCAAUUGGUAAUAUUUGUUAUUACUUUCUUUUUGUUGAGGCAUUGUUAAUUGUAAGCAUUUUUGAUAAUUAAUUAUUGGUACCAAGGUCAAGGAAGGAAAGAUCAGAGGAAUGUUUCUUUCUUUGAUCAAUUAAUAGAAAAAGGAUAAUUAAUUUUUCAUUUUAUUGAAUAAUUUUAACUAGUAGUUUCAUGCAUCUGUUAAAAAUUAGAAUUAUUUUAAACAAUCUGUUAUCGUCAAAUUGUAGUAAUUGUAUUAUAAUAUACAGCUUUCGGUGCAAGUUUGAAUUAAAAUAAAAUCACGUUAUUAAAUCUCAUGCUGUUUAAGCAUGGUUAAUUAUUGGACUUUGCUUAUUGUAAAGAAAUAGAUAAUUUAUAAAUUACGCCGUAAUAGAAUUUUCAACAAUUUUUAAUAUGCUUACAAUCUUAACAACAAAAAUCCUCUGCUUUAAUACAAUAGUCUAUUAUCUUUAUUACAAAAUGAUUUUCUAUCGAUGUAAUAUUCAUUGAAAUAAUUAUCAACAAUUAUUUAAAACAUUUCAUUUCAAUCUAGGAUCAAUAUUCAGAUUUAACAAUAUUUGUGCUCGUCGAAUAUAUUUCACGAACAUAGAUAUUUUCAUUUACAAGCCAUUAAUAACAGUAUUUCCGUUACGAACACUCAAUAAGAAGAAUGUUGUUUUGUUUAUUUCCACCCAGCCCAUCCCUGCCCACUAAGUUUUUCUUUCAGGAAUUGUUGUGGCCGCGCGCAAUGCGGUCGGUAGAGUCAGUGUUUGUACGAAUAUACUUCCAAUGUUUUGAUUUUUGCAAGGGCGAACUGGC